RNAcentral lists this ribosomal RNA (480 nucleotides) under uncultured bacterium. RNAcentral's name for it is "partial 16S ribosomal RNA". It matches the Rfam family "Bacterial small subunit ribosomal RNA", at positions 28 to 507 of the family's 1533-position model. The record is from RNAcentral.
GACGAACGCUGGCGGCGUGCUUAACACAUGCAAGUCGAACGAUGAAGAAAAGAAUUGAAGCUUCGGCAGAAAUUCAUUUCGGAUUAGUGGCAGACGGGUGAGUAACGCGUGAGCUACCUACCUCUUACAAAGGGAUAGCCUCGGGAAACCGGGAUUAAUACCAUAUAACAUUGCGACGAAGCAUUUCGAUGCAAUCAAAGCUACGGCGGUAAGAGAUGGGCUCGCGUCCCAUUAACCAGAUGGUGAGGUAACGGCUCACCAUAGUAACGAUGGGUAACCGGCCUGAGAGGGUGAACGGUCACACUGGAACUGAGACACGGUCCAUACUCCUACGGGAGGCAGCAGUGGGGAAUAUUGCACAAUGGAGGGAACUCUGAUGCAGCGACGCCGCGUGAGUGAUGAAGGAAUUCGUUUCGUAAAACUCUGUUCUAUGGGAAGAAAAGGACUGUACCAUAGGAGAAAGCUCCGGCUAAAUACGUG